UGUGUGUGUGUAAUUAUGUAAUGGCAGUCCAAGACACAAUGAUGUAUUAGGCAUUUGUUAUUAGCCAUGUAACCCCUGGACUCAGAGUGAC
This is a long non-coding RNA of Etheostoma spectabile (orangethroat darter), 91 nucleotides long. RefSeq lists it as uncharacterized. The record is from RefSeq and is a predicted model, not a curated record. The transcript is spliced from 3 exons. Lineage: Eukaryota; Metazoa; Chordata; Actinopteri; Perciformes; Percidae.